RNAcentral lists this ribosomal RNA (478 nucleotides) under uncultured bacterium. RNAcentral describes it as "partial 16S ribosomal RNA". It matches the Rfam family "Bacterial small subunit ribosomal RNA", at positions 28 to 507 of the family's 1533-position model. The record is from RNAcentral.
GAUGAACGCUGGCGGCGUGCUUAACACAUGCAAGUCGAACGAGAAGUGAAGACGGAAACCUUCGGGCGGAAGGCUUUAUUUCGAGUGGCGGACGGGUGAGUAACGCGUGGGUAACCUGCCUCAUACAGGGGGAUAACAGUUGGAAACGACGGUUAAUACCGCAUAAGACCACAGCACCGCAUGGUGCGGGGGUAAAAACUCCGGUGGUAUGAGAUGGACCCGCGUUCGAUUAGCCAGUUGGCGGGGUAACGGCCCACCAAAGCGACGAUCGAUAGCCGAUCUCAGAGGAUGACCGGCCACAUUGGGACUGAGACACGGCCCAAACUCCUACGGGAGGCAGCAGUGGGGAAUAUUGCACAAUGGGGGAAACCCUGAUGCAGCGACGCCGCGUGAGUGAAGAAGUAUUUCGGUAUGUAAAGCUCUAUCAGCAGGGAAGAAAAUGACGGUACCUGAGUAAGAAGCCCCGGCUAACUACGUG